CCUACGGGUGGCUGCAGUGGGGAAUCUUAGACAAUGGGCGCAAGCCUGAUCUAGCCAUGCCGCGUGAGCGAUGAAGGCCUUAGGGUUGUAAAGCUCUUUCAGGGGGGAAGAUAAUGACUGUACCCCCAGAAGAAGCCCCGGCUAACUCCGUGCCAGCAGCCGCGGUAAUACGGAGGGGGCUAGCGUUGUUCGGAAUUACUGGGCGUAAAGCGCACGUAGGGGACGAGAAAGUCAGAGGUGAAAUCCCAGGGCUCAACCUUGGAACUGCCUUUGAAACUUCUUGUCUUGAGGUCGAGAGAGGUGAGUGGAAUUCCGAGUGUAGAGGUGAAAUUCGUAGAUAUUCGGAGGAACACCAGUGGCGAAGGCGGCUCACUGGCUCGAUACUGACGCUGAGGUGCGAAAGCGUGGGGAGCAAACAGGAUUAGAUACCCGAGUAGUC
RNAcentral lists this ribosomal RNA (439 nucleotides) under uncultured bacterium. RNAcentral's name for it is "partial 16S ribosomal RNA". It matches the Rfam family "Bacterial small subunit ribosomal RNA", at positions 338 to 795 of the family's 1533-position model. The record is from RNAcentral.